This 497-nucleotide ribosomal RNA is filed under the name uncultured bacterium. Its description in RNAcentral is "partial 16S ribosomal RNA". It matches the Rfam family "Bacterial small subunit ribosomal RNA", at positions 28 to 507 of the family's 1533-position model. The record is from RNAcentral.
GAUGAACGCUGGCGGCGUGCCUAAUACAUGCAAGUCGAGCGAACAGACGAGGAGCUUGCUCCUCUGACGUUAGCGGCGGACGGGUGAGUAACACGUGGAUAACCUACCUAUAAGACUGGGAUAACUUCGGGAAACCGGAGCUAAUACCGGAUAAUAUAUUGAACCGCAUGGUUCAAUAGUGAAAGACGGUUUUGCUGUCACUUAUAGAUGGAUCCGCGCCGCAUUAGCUAGUUGGUAAGGUAACGGCUUACCAAGGCAACGAUGCGUAGCCGACCUGAGAGGGUGAUCGGCCACACUGGAACUGAGACACGGUCCAGACUCCUACGGGAGGCAGCAGUAGGGAAUCUUCCGCAAUGGGCGAAAGCCUGAAGGAGCAAAGCCGCGUGAGUGAUGAAGGUCUUCGGAUCGUAAAACUCUGUUAUUAGGGAAGAACAAAUGUGUAAGUAACUAUGCACGUCUUGAUGGUACCUAAUCAGAAAGCCACGGCUAACUACGUG